UAGGGAAUCUUCCGCAAUGGACGCAAGUCUGACGGAGCAACGCCGCGUGAGUGAAGAAGGAUUUCGGUUCGUAAAACUCUGUUGUUAGAGAAGAACAGCGCAUAGAGUAACUGUUAUGCGUGUGACGGUAUCUAACCAGAAAGCCACGGCUAACUACGUGCCAGCAGCCGCGGUAAUACGUAGGUGGCAAGCGUUGUCCGGAUUUAUUGGGCGUAAAGCGAGCGCAGGCGGUCAAUUAAGUCUGAUGUGAAAGCCCCCGGCUCAACCGGGGAGGGUCAUUGGAAACUGGUUGACUUGAGUGCAGAAGAGGGGGGUGGAAUUCCAUGUGUAGCGGUGAAAUGCGUAGAUAUAUGGAGGAACACCAGUGGCGAAGGCGACUCUCUGGUCUGUAACUGACGCUGAGGCUCGAAAGCGUGGGUAGCAAACAGG
This 429-nucleotide ribosomal RNA is filed under the name Bacteroidota bacterium. RNAcentral describes it as "Bacteroidetes bacterium partial 16S ribosomal RNA". It matches the Rfam family "Bacterial small subunit ribosomal RNA", at positions 355 to 776 of the family's 1533-position model. Lineage: Bacteria; Pseudomonadati; Bacteroidota. The record is from RNAcentral.